Small nuclear RNA from Pongo abelii (Sumatran orangutan), 115 nucleotides. The record is from Ensembl. Lineage: Eukaryota; Metazoa; Chordata; Mammalia; Primates; Hominidae.
AGGCUCACUUCAGCAGCAUAUAUACUUAAAUUGGAAUGACACAGAGAAGAUUAGCAUGUCCCCUAUACAAGGAUAACACUUUUUAAAAAAAUCUCCUUAAACACUAUAUAUUUUU